GUGCUCACUUUAGCAGCAUAUAUCCUAAAUUUGGAAUAUUACAGAGAAGACUCACAGACUCCAAAACAAGGAUGACACGCAUUUGUGAAGUGUCCCAUAUUUUU
Suricata suricatta (meerkat) is the source of this 104-nucleotide small nuclear RNA. The record is from Ensembl. Lineage: Eukaryota; Metazoa; Chordata; Mammalia; Carnivora; Herpestidae.